RNAcentral lists this ribosomal RNA (564 nucleotides) under uncultured bacterium. RNAcentral describes it as "bacterial SSU rRNA". It matches the Rfam family "Bacterial small subunit ribosomal RNA", at positions 338 to 916 of the family's 1533-position model. The record is from RNAcentral.
CCUACGGGAGGCAGCAGUAGGGAAUAUUGCACAAUGGGCGAAAGCCUGAUGCAGCAACGCCGCGCGCGGGAAGAAGGCCCUAGGGUUGUAAACCGCUUUCAGCAGGGAAGAAAAUGACGGUACCUGCAGAAGAAGGUGCGGCCAACUACGUGCCAGCAGCCGCGGUGACACGUAGGCACCAAGCGUUGUCCGGAUUUAUUGGGCGUAAAGAGCUCGUAGGCGGUUCAGUUAGUCGGGUGUGAAAACUCUGGGCUCAACCCAGAGAGGCCACUCGAUACUGCUGUGACUAGAGUGCGGUAGGGGAGCGGGGAAUUCCUAGUGUAGCGGUGAAAUGCGCAGAUAUUAGGAGGAACACCAGUGGCGAAGGCGCCGCUCUGGGCCGUAACUGACGCUGAGGAGCGAAAGCGUGGGUAGCAAACAGGAUUAGAUACCCUGGUAGUCCACGCCGUAAACGUUGGGCACUAGGUGUGGGUCUCAACCAACGAGAUCCGCGCCGUCGCUAACGCAUUAAGUGCCCCGCCUGGGGAGUACGGCCGCAAGGCUAAAACUCAAAGGAAUUGACGG